RNAcentral lists this ribosomal RNA (453 nucleotides) under uncultured Smithella sp. RNAcentral's name for it is "bacterial SSU rRNA". It matches the Rfam family "Bacterial small subunit ribosomal RNA", at positions 933 to 1382 of the family's 1533-position model. Lineage: Bacteria; Pseudomonadati; Thermodesulfobacteriota; Syntrophia; Syntrophales; Smithellaceae. The record is from RNAcentral.
UGGAGCAUGUGGUUUAAUUCGACGCAACGCGAAGAACCUUACCUGGGUUUGACAUCCCUGUCGUAUUCCAUGGAAACAUGGGAGUCAGUUCGGCUGGACAGGUGACAGGUGCUGCAUGGCUGUCGUCAGCUCGUGUCGUGAGAUGUUCGGGUUAAGUCCCGCAACGAGCGCAACCCCUACGUUUAGUUGCUAACGCGUGAAGGCGAGCACUCUAGACGAACUGCCGUUAAUAAACCGGAGGAAGUGGGGAUGACGUCAAAUCAUCAUGCCCCUUAUGACCUGGGCUACACACGUGCUACAAUGGUUGGUACAACGAGUUGCGAGUCGGUGACGGCGAGCUAAUCUCUUAAAGCCAAUCUCAGUUCGGAUUGUAGGCUGCAACUCGCCUACAUGAAGUCGGAAUCGCUAGUAAUCGCGGAUCAGCACGCCGCGGUGAAUACGUUCCCGGGCCUU